This 353-nucleotide long non-coding RNA is filed under the name Phoenix dactylifera (date palm). RNAcentral's name for it is "long non-coding RNA (PDAC_LNC007487)". Lineage: Eukaryota; Viridiplantae; Streptophyta; Magnoliopsida; Arecales; Arecaceae. The record is from RNAcentral.
CAGGUCGGGCUCGGGUACUUGGUUAUAUGGCGGGCUCAAGCUUGGAUUUAGGCCCAAAGCUGGCCAAAAUCUAGCUUGAAAAGUCUACAUGUGAUGUCGUCUAACCAUACCAAACCCAUUGAUGCAGGGCCUAGUGGAAAAUUAGAUUGGCCUGAUAGCCUAAAAAUUUGUGUUUGUUGAGCUCUUCGAAGUCUCGAGUAAUCUCAAUCCCUUAAAAAUCUUCGAUCACUAGAGUUCUAACACUUCCGACCUUUGAAUAUUUGCCUCCACGGCUCCAUGCCUCCACCACCAGUCUACUGCCUCUGGUAGUCGAUCAUUGGUCCACUUCUGUCGCAUUCACCCUCUUCCCCCCU